GGAGAGCUGGCCGAGCGGUCGAAGGCGCUUGAUUCGAAAUCAAGUGUACCUCCUGGGUACCGUGGGUUCGAAUCCCACGCUCUCCGCCA
This 89-nucleotide transfer RNA is filed under the name Deltaproteobacteria bacterium. RNAcentral describes it as "tRNA-Ser". It matches the Rfam family "tRNA". From Rfam's summary of the family: Transfer RNA (tRNA) molecules are approximately 80 nucleotides in length. Their secondary structure includes four short double-helical elements and three loops (D, anti-codon, and T loops). The record is from RNAcentral. Lineage: Bacteria; Pseudomonadati; Myxococcota; Myxococcia.